GCCCGCACAAGCGGCGGAGCAUGCGGAUUAAUUCGAUGCAACGCGAAGAACCUUACCAAGGCUUGACAUAUGCGAGAACGCGGCAGAGAUGUCGUUCUCUUUGGACACUCGCAUACAGGUGGUGCAUGGUUGUCGUCAGCUCGUGUCGUGAGAUGUUGGGUUAAGUCCCGCAACGAGCGCAACCCUCGUUCUAUGUUGCCAGCACGUGAUGGUGGGGACUCAUAGGAGACUGCCGGGGUCAACUCGGAGGAAGGUGGGGAUGACGUCAAAUCAUCAUGCCCCUUAUGUCUUGGGCUUCACGCAUGCUACAAUGGCCGGUACAAAGGGCUGCGAUACCGCGAGGUGGAGCGAAUCCCAAAAAACCGGUCUCAGUUCGGAUUGGGGUCUGCAACUCGACCCCAUGAAGUCGGAGUCGCUAGUAAUCGCAGAUCAGCAACGCUGCGGUGAAUACGUUCCCGGGCCUUGUACACACCGCCCGUCAAGUCACGAAAGUCGGUAACACCCGAAGCCGGUGGCCCAACUCUUUGAGAGGGAGCCGUCGAAGGUGGGACUGGCGAUUGGGACUAAGUCGUAACAAGGUAGCCGUACCGGAAGGUGCGGCUGGAUCACCUCCUUUCUA
This 619-nucleotide ribosomal RNA is filed under the name Salmonella enterica subsp. enterica serovar Agona. Its description in RNAcentral is "bacterial SSU rRNA". It matches the Rfam family "Bacterial small subunit ribosomal RNA", at positions 919 to 1533 of the family's 1533-position model. Lineage: Bacteria; Pseudomonadati; Pseudomonadota; Gammaproteobacteria; Enterobacterales; Enterobacteriaceae. The record is from RNAcentral.